UUUUGGAAGAUAAGUUAUAAUUUCUAAUAUGAGAACCAAAUCUAACAACGAAUUAGAAAGCCUAGUGGAAGCAUAAUCAGUAACAGUAAGACUCGACUGACAAAUA
Molecule: long non-coding RNA, 106 nt
Organism: Cucurbita moschata (crookneck pumpkin)
Lineage: Eukaryota; Viridiplantae; Streptophyta; Magnoliopsida; Cucurbitales; Cucurbitaceae
Exons: 3
Source: RefSeq, a predicted model, not a curated record